Molecule: long non-coding RNA, 333 nt
Organism: Puntigrus tetrazona (Sumatra barb)
Lineage: Eukaryota; Metazoa; Chordata; Actinopteri; Cypriniformes; Cyprinidae
Exons: 3
Source: RefSeq, a predicted model, not a curated record
AAUUUGCUUACCCAGUGUAUGCCUUUCUUGCAUUCUUGCGUUAUAAUGUAACCAAAAAAACAAGGCAUGUCUUACAGAAGCCGGACGUCGCCCUGCAAUCGACAACGUCUUCGGUAAGGAAUGGUGCAUGAACCUCUGGAGACACGAGGAGUCACAUGUCGGAGAGCAGGAGGACACGCAUCUGGACUCUUCAGCCAUUGUAGAAGAGCCAGUAGAUUUACUAGACGACGAACCAGAUAUGAUCAUGAUCAAAGAGGAGACAUUUGAAGACUGCUCUGCGAAAAAUAACACGGAGGAAGUUGAAAAUUCCAGUUUGAGAGGACCUUCAGCGAC